This 460-nucleotide ribosomal RNA is filed under the name uncultured bacterium. Its description in RNAcentral is "partial 16S ribosomal RNA". It matches the Rfam family "Bacterial small subunit ribosomal RNA", at positions 338 to 795 of the family's 1533-position model. The record is from RNAcentral.
CCUACGGGGGGCAGCAGUGAGGAAUAUUGGUCAAUGGACGCAAGUCUGAACCAGCCAUGCCGCGUGCAGGAAGACGGCUCUAUGAGUUGUAAACUGCUUUUGUACGAGGGUAAAUCCCGAUACGUGUAUCUGGUUGAAAGUAUCGUACGAAUCAGGAUCGGCUAACUCCGUGCCAGCAGCCGCGGUAAUACGGAGGAUUCAAGCGUUAUCCGGAUUUAUUGGGUUUAAAGGGUGCGUAGGCGGUUCGAUAAGUUAGAGGUGAAAUCCCGGGGCUCAACUCCGGCACUGCCUCUGAUACUGUCGGUCUAGAGGUUAGGUGAGGUAGGCGGAAUGUAUGGUGUAGCGGUGAAAUGCAUAGAUAUCAUGCAGAACACCGAUUGCGAAGGCAGCUUACCAAACUACAACUGACGUUGAGGCACGAAAGCGUGGGGAGCAAACAGGAUUAGAUACCCGUGUAGUC